GAAAUCACUGAAGAGUUUGAUAUUCAAUAAAGUUCAUCAGAAGACAGAGAAUCACUGAAAAAAUUUUUGUGAAUGUCUGGGUAGCAUCUCAAAAGUCUGUGCAAACUCAAACUGCUUCUUCAGGAACUUUGAACCAUGAGCAGAACACAAGGUGCCUGAGUCUGGGGGCCUCAGAUUGCUGAAGGAGAAGGGGCAGGCAGCAGAUGGUGAUCCUACUAAAUAGUGACACCUACAAAUGUUGGUUUGUGUACACAGCGUGGGACUGUAUUCACGAUUACACCAAUGGGAAUAUGCAAAUAAUCUUCUGAAGCCAUUACUAAAAAGAAGCUGCUUUAAUGUUAGAGCACUGUAAAUGAGAGAAGA
Catharus ustulatus (Swainson's thrush) is the source of this 363-nucleotide long non-coding RNA. RefSeq lists it as uncharacterized. The record is from RefSeq and is a predicted model, not a curated record. The transcript is spliced from 3 exons. Lineage: Eukaryota; Metazoa; Chordata; Aves; Passeriformes; Turdidae.